Molecule: small nucleolar RNA, 103 nt
Organism: Lemur catta (Ring-tailed lemur)
Lineage: Eukaryota; Metazoa; Chordata; Mammalia; Primates; Lemuridae
Product: small nucleolar RNA U13
Exons: 1
Source: RefSeq, a predicted model, not a curated record
AUCCUUUGUAGUUCAUAAGCAUGAUGAUUGGGUUUUCACGCACAUGUGUGAGAUGUGUCUCCCUCAAAACUUGUUACCAUGUGUGCACAUUAGCUGUCUGACA